Molecule: ribosomal RNA, 541 nt
Filed under: uncultured bacterium
Lineage: Bacteria
Description: bacterial SSU rRNA
Rfam family: Bacterial small subunit ribosomal RNA
Source: RNAcentral
AACCUUACCAGGUCUUGACAUACUCGUGCUAUUCCUAGAGAUAGGAGGUUCCUUCGGGACACGGGAUACAGGUGGUGCAUGGUUGUCGUCAGCUCGUGUCGUGAGAUGUUGGGUUAACGUCCGCAACGAGCGCAACCCCUAUUGUUAGUUGCCAUCAUUAAGUUGGGCACUCUAACGAGACUGCCGGUGAUAAACCGGAGGAAGGUGGGGAUGACGUCAAAUCAUCAUGCCCCUUAUGACCUGGGCUACACACGUGCUACAAUGGAUGGUACAACGAGUCGCGAGACAGUGAUGUUUAGCUAAUCUCUUAAAACCAUUCUCAGUUCGGAUUGUAGGCUGCAACUCGCCUACAUGAAGUCGGAAUCGCUAGUAAUCGCGGAUCAGCACGCCGCGGUGAAUACGUUCCCGGGCCUUGUACACACCGCCCGUCACACCACGGGAGUUGGGAGUACCCGAAGUAGGUUGCCUAACCGCAAGGAGGGCGCUUCCUAAGGUAAGACCGAUGACUGGGGUGAAGUCGUAACAAGGUAGGCGUAGCGAG